UCAUUUCUUUUACGAUAAGACUUUAGGGUCUUAUCAUUUGGUAUCAGAGCGACGAUAAGACUUUAGGGUCAUAUCAUUUGGUAUCAGAGCAUCCCCAUUUCUCCCCUUUCUUCCGUGAUAAGACUUUAGGGUCUUAUCAUUUGGUAUCAGAGCAGCGAUCCUUAUUGUUUCACUAUUCUCGCUACAGUUAUCAUCAUCUCAAAAAAAAAAAAGAACGCAGAAAAAAAAAAAGGAAAGAGAUCGUGUGAGAAAGGGUGAAGCCGGUGGCAACCGACCACCACUACCUUCUCAAUCGAGAAGGAAACUCUGCUUCCGGCCACCGACCACCAUUGCCUUCUCCACCACCACCGCUGCCAGUCACCGCAAUCUUCUCUUCAUUGAUCCCAGCCCUCAGCGAGGCAACCACCGCUGUUGCCUCCUUCUCCACUGCUACCCGCUCCCCUUGGGUCGCAGCCGCAGUCGCUCGACCUCCCGUCCUCG
Molecule: long non-coding RNA, 480 nt
Filed under: Musa acuminata (dwarf banana)
Lineage: Eukaryota; Viridiplantae; Streptophyta; Magnoliopsida; Zingiberales; Musaceae
Description: long non-coding RNA (MACU_LNC005864)
Source: RNAcentral